AAAGAGGAAGACAGAGCUCUUACCAGGGGGAGGCAGAGAUGGCACAGCAAGGGACAUGCCCCCAGAAUGGCACCACUGCCCCAGGACAGGCCCACCCAUGGGACCAGGUUAGCAGGAACCCUGUGGGGAUGGGGUGGAAUCUGAAGGGUGAGCCUUCUUCCCAGGCUGGGUGUGGGCAAGAUGAGACUGGGGCCUCUACAUCUGAGUGCCCUCCAAACCCAGCAGUCAUGUCGUGAGUAAACAAAGAAAUCACGUUACUUCUUCCAGCUGAGCUCGGUUCUGUUGUUUCUGUGGGGAAGAGUGAAAGGAAGGUGACUGAGGGUGGCCCCCUCGACUCUAUUCCCCAUGCCAGGAAGCGGUAGGCAGGGGCCAGGGAUGGAUUUUAAAGGUAAAGUUCUUAGACCCAAUGGGAACACCAGCUGGUAAACUCUCCUCCACUCCCAAAGAAAAAGGAUUUGGGUCUUGGUUGGUUUUUGCCCACAGCCCCAGAACUGAAAGUCCGAAACUAGAUUCUCUCGAAAAGACAGUCACAGAAACCUUCAGAGACGGAGUGUGAGAAAAGCCCACCCUUCUGCCAGCUUGUGAUUUAGAAAGGUGCAUUCAUUCAACAAACAUUGACUGAGCACAUACGGGCCAGGGACGGUUCUUCACAGUGAGGAUAUAGGACGGAAAAGGCAGACAGGAGCCCUUGGCACCGAGGUUUCCAUUCUAGUGGGCCUUUAACUCUCAGACUCUCAGAGCUAACAGAAACCUCUGAUACUCUCUAACUCUACCUCAGGAAACGCAAGCCCGAGAAGGAGACUUUACAGCAGGCCGUGGACUAGGGAUUAACAUAAAAACAGCAAUGACAAAUCUCAUACACCACUCCUAUUUUACAGAUGUGAAAAAAGAGGCCCAAAGAGCUCGAGGAAUUUGCCUUAUAUCAUAUCUGCAGCAGAUGGAGAGGAUUCAAACCCAGAAUUCUUAACCAGUGCCUGGGAGAUCUUCCACAAUCUUAACAAUUACCCUCCACCACCCCUUGGGCCCUCUGUCCCCAGGAGCCUGGCCAGCCAAGACUCACAUCCUCAGACUCAAAGGAAACUGAUGUUUCAGAAAGAUACCCUGUAUUUAUCCUGUGGCACUCAAAGUACCCCAGGUGGAGAUGAGAUGAGGAAUAUUCAAGCUGUCAAGUUCAGUUUCCCAAGAUCUGUUCCACAGAAGAUAAGCAGAUCUCACUCCAGAAACCACUGACUGAGGGGCACUCUGGUCCCAGAACAAUGCAGAAUUCAAAUCUGAGGUGGGGAACUCAGAAACAAUGUUCGAGUCUCUCUGGAGAGUAGAAGCCUGGGAGAAAACCAAACCCAACCCGUUCUCCCAUUGCCACCCAGGGACACUGUCAAUGUGUUGAGCUCAUGGGGGAGGUGUCGGCUUUUCACACUGUCAGUGUCUGUGUUAAGGAAGUAAGGCAGCCUGAAACCUGUCUCUCCUAGGUCCCACAGUCCCCAAUCCCCUUCCAGCUGGAAACCUGUGCUAUAACCAGAGGAACCAGAAAUGGGCAAGAACACUCAGGGGACUGGGUCCUAAGACCAAAGACCAGUCUCGUGGCAGUAAUGACAGUUCCUAGAGGGACUGUGACAUCACUACAUUCCACUCCUCAGUGGAGUGGUGGGGAG
Molecule: long non-coding RNA, 1652 nt
Organism: Piliocolobus tephrosceles (Ugandan red Colobus)
Lineage: Eukaryota; Metazoa; Chordata; Mammalia; Primates; Cercopithecidae
Source: Ensembl